GACGAACACUGGCGGCGUGCCUAACACAUGCAAGUUGAGCGACGAACCAGGGCUUGCCCUGGGGCAAAGCAGCGAACGGGUGAGUAACACGUGGGUAACCUACCCCGAUAACCGGGACAACCCGAGGAAACUCGGGCUAAUACCGGAUGUGCUCACUGGACUUCGGUUCAGUGCGUAAAGGAAGCUUCGGCCUCCGUAUCGGGAGGGGCCCGCGGCCCAUUAGUUUGUUGGUGAGGUAACGGCUCACCAAGACCGCGAUGGGUAGCUGGUCUGAGAGGACGAUCAGCCACACUGGGACUGAGACACGGCCCAGACUCCUACGGGAGGCAGCAGUGGGGAAUCUUGCGCAAUGCGCGAAAGCGUGACGCAGCAACGCCGCGUGGGGGAAGAAGGCCUUCGGGUUGUAAACCCCUUUCAGGAGGGACGAAGGUUCGGCGGUGAAUAGCCGUCCGGACUGACGGUACCUCCACAAGAAGCCCCGGCUAACUACGUG
This 493-nucleotide ribosomal RNA is filed under the name uncultured bacterium. RNAcentral's name for it is "partial 16S ribosomal RNA". It matches the Rfam family "Bacterial small subunit ribosomal RNA", at positions 28 to 507 of the family's 1533-position model. The record is from RNAcentral.